Long non-coding RNA from Xiphias gladius (swordfish), 416 nucleotides. RefSeq lists it as uncharacterized. The transcript is spliced from 3 exons. Lineage: Eukaryota; Metazoa; Chordata; Actinopteri; Istiophoriformes; Xiphiidae. The record is from RefSeq and is a predicted model, not a curated record.
UCUGAGGCUAUAGACAUGUGGGGUCUGGCUGCAUGCUCGGGUUCUCAUACCUUGGCAAACACGCAUUUGCAAGAGACUGCAAGUACGUGCCAAUGAGAGGCGUUGCAGAUGUUUUUGGCUGGCCAUCUGACCACCUCCUGCGUGCUGGAAAACACAACCACAAACUUUUCAAAGUGAACCAGCACUACAAUACCCAAGAUGUUAGAUGAAGACCCGGAGGGAAUACUAGCUUGGCACUUGAACCAAGCCCAAAACAUGGAAGAGUGCCUUUAUAAGUCAGGAUGACCUGAUAAUAUGACCUGGAUGACUGAGAAUCAUCACAGACAUCGUUUUCUUUGUUCUUCCUGGUAAAUUAUUUCAAAGUAAAUUUGAAUUUUUUAACUGAUUUCCAUAAAUAACAAAUUCACUUGAACUUC